AACCUCCGCAAUGUGAGAAAUCGCGACGGGGGGAUCCCAAGUGCCAUUCUUAACGGGAUGGCUUUUCAUUAGUGUAAAGAGCUUUUGGAAUAAGGGCUGGGCAAGCCCGGUGCCAGCCGCCGCGGUAACACCGGCAGCUCUAGUGGUAGCAGUUUUUAUUGGGCCUAAAGCGUCCGUAGCCGGUUUAAUAAGUCUCUGGUGAAAUCCUGUAGCUUAACUGUGGGAAUUGCUGGAGAUACUAUUAGACUUGAGACCGGGAGAGGUUAGAGGUACUCCCAGGGUAGAGGUGAAAUUCUGUAAUCCUGGGAGGACCGCCUGUUGCGAAGGCGUCUAACUGGAACGGUUCUGACGGUGAGGGACGAAAGUUAGGGGCGCGAACCGGAUUAGAUACCCGGGUAGUCCUAACUGUAAACGAUGCGGACUUGGUGUUGGGGUGGCUUUGAGCUGCUCCAGUGCCGAAGGAAGCGUGUUAAGUCCGCCGCCUGGGAAGUACGGUCGCAAGACUGAAACUUAAAGGAAUU
RNAcentral lists this ribosomal RNA (521 nucleotides) under uncultured bacterium. RNAcentral describes it as "bacterial SSU rRNA". It matches the Rfam family "Archaeal small subunit ribosomal RNA", at positions 345 to 866 of the family's 1478-position model. The record is from RNAcentral.